CCUACGGGAGGCAGCAGUGGGGAAUAUUGGGCAAUGGACGAAAGUCUGAACCAGCCACGUAGCGUGAAGGAUGACUGCCCUAUGGGUUGUAAACUUCUUUUAUAUGGGAAUAAAAUGUUGCACGUGUGGGAUUUUGUAUGUACCAUAUGAAUAAGGGUCGGCUAACUCAGUGCCAGCAGCCGCGGUAAUACGGAGGGUCCGAGCGUUAUCCGGAUUUAGUGGGUUUAAAGGGAGCGUAGGUGGAUUGUUAAGUCAGUUGUGAAAGUUUGCGGCUCAACCGUAAAAUUGCAUUUGAAACUGGCAGUCUUGAGUACAGUAGAGGUGGGCGGAAUUCGUGGUGUAGCGGUGAAAUGCUUAGAUAUCACGAAGAACUCCGAUUGCGAAGGCAGCUCACUGGACUGCAACUGACACUGAGGCUUGAAAGUGUGGGUAUCAAACAGGAUUAGAUACCCCAGUAGUC
This 460-nucleotide ribosomal RNA is filed under the name uncultured bacterium. Its description in RNAcentral is "partial 16S ribosomal RNA". It matches the Rfam family "Bacterial small subunit ribosomal RNA", at positions 338 to 795 of the family's 1533-position model. The record is from RNAcentral.